RNAcentral lists this ribosomal RNA (459 nucleotides) under uncultured bacterium. RNAcentral describes it as "partial 16S ribosomal RNA". It matches the Rfam family "Bacterial small subunit ribosomal RNA", at positions 338 to 795 of the family's 1533-position model. The record is from RNAcentral.
CCUACGGGAGGCAGCAGUGAGGAAUAUUGGUCAAUGGGCGCGAGCCUGAACCAGCCAAGUCGCGUGAGGGAAGACGGUCCUAUGGAUUGUAAACCUCUUUUGUCGGGGAGCAAAAGACGCCACGCGUGGCGUUCCGAGAGUACCCGAAGAAAAAACAUCGGCUAACUCCGUGCCAGCAGCCGCGGUAAUACGGAGGAUGUGAGCGUUAUCCGGAUUUAUUGGGUUUAAAGGGUGCGCAGGCGGAAGAUCAAGUCAGCGGUAAAAUUGAGAGGCUCAACCUCUUCGAGCCGUUGAAACUGGUGUUCUUGAGUGAGUGAGGAGUAUGCGGAAGGCGUGGUGUAGCGGUGAAAUGCAUAGAGAUCACGCAGAACUCCGAUUGCGAAGGCAGCAUACCGGCGCUCAACUGACGCUCAUGCACGAAAGUGUGGGUAUCGAACAGGAUUAGAUACCCGGGUAGUC